RNAcentral lists this ribosomal RNA (253 nucleotides) under uncultured bacterium. RNAcentral describes it as "partial 16S ribosomal RNA". It matches the Rfam family "Bacterial small subunit ribosomal RNA", at positions 524 to 776 of the family's 1533-position model. The record is from RNAcentral.
UACGUAGGGGGCAAACGUUGUCCGGAUUUAUUGGGCGUAAAGAGCUCGUAGGUGGCGUGUCGCGUCUGCCGUGAAAGCCCAUGGCUUAACUGUGGGUCUGCGGUGGAUACGGGCAGGCUAGAGGCUGGUAGGGGCAAGCGGAAUUCCUGGUGUAGCGGUGAAAUGCGCAGAUAUCAGGAGGAACACCGGUGGCGAAGGCGGCUUGCUGGGCCAGUUCUGACGCUGAGGAGCGAAAGCGUGGGGAGCGAACAGG